AGGGAUCCAGCAAUGCACCUGGACCAAGUAGACCUGCCGUCUCCACUGGGAUACCGUACCGCCCGGUUCCUCUUCCAUCAGUUCCUCAAGCUCAUGCUACGCGCUCACAUUUUGUGAGGAAAAAACAAGACCUGCAAACACUAUACAAAAGAUGUCGUGUGCUUGCCCUUGUCUUCAGCAUCAACGUUUCUCAUACCGAGAGGAGAUUCAAGAGCAAAACUAGCACAAGAUGGCCUUAUUGGGAAGAUCUCCUUUACAUCUGGUCUGAAGCACAACUUAGAGAAGAAAUAGCAGCAAUCUUCAGAAGAACAUUUGCACUGUCAACUGGCCAGACAUUCCCUUUUGAGUAUUUGAGUACAAUUAGAGGAUGUAAACGACUAAUGAAACCAAAUGUUUCUAGCAGUUUUCUUUGGGGUGGCCAAGAAGUUGGCUCGAUUUGUUCCUCCACCUGCCUCUAUAUAAUGGCAGGGAUACAAAAACCUGCACAGGAGGAACCAGAAGAGCUGUCUGAUAGUGACUUUGAAAGUCCAGUCUGC
Oreochromis aureus is the source of this 536-nucleotide long non-coding RNA. RefSeq lists it as uncharacterized. The record is from RefSeq and is a predicted model, not a curated record. The transcript is spliced from 3 exons. NCBI's taxonomy places the organism in Eukaryota, Metazoa, Chordata, Actinopteri, Cichliformes, Cichlidae.